RNAcentral lists this long non-coding RNA (1442 nucleotides) under Setaria italica (foxtail millet). RNAcentral's name for it is "long non-coding RNA (SITA_LNC003502)". The record is from RNAcentral. Lineage: Eukaryota; Viridiplantae; Streptophyta; Magnoliopsida; Poales; Poaceae.
AAGAUAAAUUAGUCUACUCCAUUAAGUAGAUUCCAAUUCCUUCAAAUGAAGGGAUCCAAACGGAGCCUCAUAGUACUUACUAUGUAUGUAGACAUAAUAUACGUAGAUGCAUAGUUAAAAUUAUGCACCUAGAAAAAUUAAAACUAGCUAUAAAUUGGGACGGAGGGAGUAUGACAAAGGUUAUACUUGUAUAUUUUUGCAAACCGUAGUUCCUGAUUCUGAGCCUACCCGUCCGCCGCUGUCGUCUGUCGGCCAGUCGUUUGUUUGGAACCCCGACCUCAACGGCCAACCCUCUUGGCACGUCCUGCGUCCGCCGCGCCGUCUCUCUGCUCACCUGACGAUGAGAAGUCGGCUUCUAUAACCUGCGGUUACACUUUCCUUCUCUCCUCGACGACGCAUGACGUUUUGCAACUGCACUUAGACAUCAAAUCUCCUUUUUCCUAAAACAAAACCCCUGCUCAAUCACAAUCAGCUCCAAGUGCUUAUGGCCUGACACUUGCACUAGGUUAUGCUCUAGUAUUUCUUGAUGGCGUCUCCCAGUUCAAUCAGUCAACAAUGCUGGCUCUGGCUGGUGUGAACUCGCCCUUUGGCGGUUUUGGCCUUUCCCGAUAAGGUUAACCUCGAGAGGGACCAAAUCCAAACUAUGGCCUUCCAAGUUGCCCCUUCUCCUUUCCUGGCCUGGCCAUACGAGCAUGUGACGUCAGCCGACUCCUCACAGCAAAUCCAUCUGCUAGCUUUGCUCAAUCAUGCGCCGCCACUACAUGUUAUUAAAAUUUAUCUGGCCUGUUACUUCUCUUUUUUCCCCCCACUCCUUUCUGUACUUGGUUGAUGCUGAAAUCAGGCUUCGAUGGAUGGAUGGAUGGAUGGCAAAGAGGAAGCACGACCUCUGUGUGGAGGUGUGUGACCUCUUGACUCCUGUCAGAGUAGCUGUGCUCGGGGCUUCGGCCGUUGAAUCGCUUUCUCCAUGCUGCAGAUCGUGUCGGUGUCUGUUCUGUUCUGAAACCUGAAUUGUUGGGUGAACAAAGGUUCAGUCAUCGGAAUUGCCUCACGGCUGUUCUGGAAAAGUGGGAAACGAUGGUGACUGUUCAUUCUUGGGGAACUACUGCAAUUGGUAGCACAUCCUACUCAAAGUUUUACUGUGCGAUACUAUACAACUUUCUUACAUUUCAAUCCCUGAAAAUUUGUGAGAACAAAAAAAUCAAUUACCCCGUUUUCGUUAGGUAUAGAUGUUUGACUGACGCUUUCACACAGCAGGCGGGGGAACUAACCGACAUCAGAGCAGUUUCUUAUGAGCGGCCAAGAUUGCGACGGCUGAAAAGAACCUGAAAACUUACCGGCUAAGUGUUUGCAAACAACAAAAAAGGGUGGGGACUCUUGAGUCCCUUCCAACUGAAUCAACACCAAGGGAUGUUCGGCACGGCGUCUCCCAAUGUGCUCCCUCG